CGCUCUUCAGUCAAGCUAAAUCAAAGCUAAUUAAUUGGUCUAUUGACAUAAAAAUAAUCAGCAGUUGUUCAGGCGUAUUUGUGUACUCACAUCCUCUCAUUUCAUCCUUUCCUUUUUUGUUGUGUAUUGAGGAGUUUGAGGCGAUUUGGUAGAAUUAAUUAAGAACUAAUUCUUAACAACAAUCAACCUUAAGGAUAAGUCACCAACAACAUAUUUAGUUCAUUAUAAACUGACUUUUACAAGUCAAAGACAAUGUUUUAUAUAAUGUUUUGCAGAGGUUGCUUAAAAAGAAUCAUGUUUUGUUUUCGACCUCCACCUCCCGGGUCCAUCUUGGCUGCGCACCAGCAGGCUGGCAUCACUGGCCAUGUCCUAGAACCAGUGCCAUCAGGAAAUCAGAAUGAGGUUACACACAAACCGCAGCAGACAGACGCAUCAAAGAAGCAUUUAGGCGCCAACAGGAAACAAGACAUCACAUCUAAGGCUGUUUAUUAGGCUGAAUAAUUGCUCAAAUGCCAUCGGGCCGCUGUCAGGAGGAGGCGCGUGUAUCCUUCCAUCUAAUGUUGCCACAGUAACGGCGCCCUAAUCGCUUUCAUCCUGCCGGCAUGACGCUGCCAGCCCUGAAACACACACACGCACGCACGCACGCGCAGUGAGCAGCCGCUGGUUUCCCGGCAGAGCUGCCUCAGCGUCUCUUCAAGGUGCCACGCGAUGAUUGGCUGACACACGUGGACUUCGACUCAACGCGCCCUCCUAUUGGCUGCUGCACCCCGCUGGCCAGCCUUCCGGAGGAGACAUC
Molecule: long non-coding RNA, 796 nt
Organism: Betta splendens (Siamese fighting fish)
Lineage: Eukaryota; Metazoa; Chordata; Actinopteri; Anabantiformes; Osphronemidae
Exons: 3
Source: RefSeq, a predicted model, not a curated record